GACGAACGCUGGCGGCGUGCUUAACACAUGCAAGUCGAGCGGUAAGGCCCUUUCGGGGGUACACGAGCGGCGAACGGGUGAGUAACACGUGGAUGACCUGCCCUCAGCUCUGGGAUAAGCCUGGGAAACUGGGUCUAAUACCGGAUAUGACUCCAUGACGCAUGUUGUGGGGUGGAAAGCCUUGUGCGGCUGAGGAUGGGCCCGCGGCCUAUCAGCUUGNGGUGGGUGAUGGCCUACCAAGGCGACGACGGGUAGCCGGCCUGAGAGGGCGACCGGCCACACUGGGACUGAGACACGGCCCAGACUCCUACGGGAGGCAGCAGUGGGGAAUCUUGCGCAAUGGGCGAAAGCCUGACGCAGCGACGCCGCGUGAGGGAUGACGGCCU
RNAcentral lists this ribosomal RNA (386 nucleotides) under uncultured bacterium. RNAcentral's name for it is "bacterial SSU rRNA". It matches the Rfam family "Bacterial small subunit ribosomal RNA", at positions 28 to 417 of the family's 1533-position model. The record is from RNAcentral.